RNAcentral lists this ribosomal RNA (176 nucleotides) under uncultured Burkholderia sp. Its description in RNAcentral is "partial 16S ribosomal RNA". It matches the Rfam family "Bacterial small subunit ribosomal RNA", at positions 341 to 509 of the family's 1533-position model. The record is from RNAcentral. Lineage: Bacteria; Pseudomonadati; Pseudomonadota; Betaproteobacteria; Burkholderiales; Burkholderiaceae.
ACCGGAGGCAGCAGUGGGGAAUUUUGGACAAUGGGCGAAAGCCUGAUCCAGCAAUGCCGCGUGUGUGAAGAAGGCCUUCGGGUUGUAAAGCACUUUUGUCCGGAAAGAAAUCCUUGGCUCUAAUACAGUCGGGGGAUGACGGUACCGGAAGAAUAAGCACCGGCUAACUACGUGCC